Molecule: ribosomal RNA, 425 nt
Filed under: uncultured bacterium
Lineage: Bacteria
Description: partial 16S ribosomal RNA
Rfam family: Bacterial small subunit ribosomal RNA
Source: RNAcentral
GUGGGGAAUCUUAGACAAUGGGGGAAACCCUGAUCUAGCCAUGCCGCGUGAUCGAUGAAGGCCUUAGGGUUGUAAAGAUCUUUCAGGUGGGAAGAUAAUGACUGUACCACCAGAAGAAGCCCCGGCUAACUCCGUGCCAGCAGCCGCGGUAAUACGGAGGGGGCUAGCGUUGUUCGGAAUUACUGGGCGUAAAGCGCACGUAGGCGGAUUGGAAAGUUGGGGGUGAAAUCCCGGGGCUCAACCCCGGAACUGCCUUCAAAACUCCCAGUCUUGAGUUCGAGCGAGGUGAGUGGAAUUCCGAGUGUAGAGGUGAAAUUCGUAGAUAUUCGGAGGAACACCAGUGGCGAAGGCGGCUCACUGGCUCGAUACUGACGCUGAGGUGCGAAAGCGUGGGGAGCAAACAGGAUUAGAAACCCCGGUAGUCC